RNAcentral lists this ribosomal RNA (451 nucleotides) under uncultured Fibrobacter sp. Its description in RNAcentral is "bacterial SSU rRNA". It matches the Rfam family "Bacterial small subunit ribosomal RNA", at positions 341 to 792 of the family's 1533-position model. Lineage: Bacteria; Pseudomonadati; Fibrobacterota; Fibrobacteria; Fibrobacterales; Fibrobacteraceae. The record is from RNAcentral.
ACGGAAGGCCGCAGUAGGGAAUAUUGCACAAUGGGGGAAACCCUGAUGCAGCAACGCCACGUGUGGGAAGAAGCAUUUCGGUGUGUAAACCACUGUCGUGAAGGAAUAAUGCUGGACCUCGGUCCAGUUGAAUGUACUUUGAAAGGAAGCACCGGCAAACUUCGUGCCAGCAGCCGCGGUAAUACGAGGGGUGCAAGCGUUGUUCGGAAUCACUGGGCGUAAAGGGAGCGCAGGCGGAGAUGCAAGCAGUCUGUACAAUACCGGGGCCCAACCCCGGACCUGCAGUCCGGACUGCACCUCUUGGAUAGUUCAGGGGCAAGCGGAAUUCCUGGUGUAGCGGUGGAAUGCGUAGAGAUCAGGAAGAACACCGAUGGCGAAGGCAGCUUGCUGGGGACUAAUCGACGCUCAUGCUCGAAAGUGCGGGUAGCAAACAGGAUUAGAUACCCUGGUA